UUUUGACAGCCCUAAAACAAACACUUUUACAAACUAAAGAAGUUGAAGGUUCAAUCUAUAAAGGUUUACUUCUGGUUGAUUUGGUAACUUUACUGUAAUUUUAACAUCAAUGAAUGUUAACUUUGAUAUUUAACUUGUGUACCAGCAAGAGAUUCAGCCUUUGUCCACUUAAAGAUGAGCCAAACACAUGCUUUUUAAAAAUAUUGUCACCUAAACUACAACCAAGAAAUAGUUUGAUCAGUUUGACAAUCUGUUCUUUACUUGAACAAACAUCAGCAUACAUAUCAUCCUAGUGUUUUGUCUCUGUGUUUUACUUCUAUUCAUGGGAAGUGCUAUGCCUUAUCCUAAAGUGAAUCAGAAGAAACAAAACAAACAGACGGUAUGGAAAGAAGUUGUUAAGGUGAGCUUCAUAGUGUUGAGUCGUCGGUGCCAAUAAGAGAGCCGCUAACCCUAACCCUAACCCAUUAUUCUUUAAUCUUUACCAAAACAAAAUACAUCUAACAUUUGAAUUUAAAAGGCGGAAAGGCUUAGACUGAGAGCUGUAUGACCACUAGAGCAAAUCAACUCCAUCAGAACAUUACAGAUUUUAUUCUGCAGUAAAAAUAAAAAAAAGUGAAAGCAUUCUAAAAUGUGUUUAUUGUAAGGCACAAAGUAGACACAUUCUUGCCAAAAACUUUAAUGAAAUAAAUGAUGAUUAAGGCAUGUCACAUUUAACAUCUAAAUCAUCUAAAUCUGAGUGCUGACACUAUUUUUUCAUCUCUCUCAGUUCUCCUCUCACAGCUCAGUACAGUCAGUGUGAACCACAGCUUUGUCAGAGAGAAGCACAUGGACUCUGAAGAUAAAUGACUUUCAAAGCUAAUGAUUGCAUUCCUUUCUCUAAAGUGGAAUGUGAUCGGGAAAGUGAGAGGCUUAAUAACUGCCCAUCAGCGCCUGUGACCCCGCACGGCCCCGGCUAACAACCAGAGCUGCCUGGGAUGCUCGGGGCGAGUAACAUAAGACAAAUUCUGCGAGACACUCUUGCAAUCCUGGUGUGGCACGCAGUCUUCUCGUCUCACUGAAAUACCUUCAAAGCCCUCGUAGAUAUGCCAGCUCGGAUACCAGCUUCUUUUCACAGGUCAUGCAACCUCCAGUCGCCAUUUUCAUUUCUCUGACACGUGUGUUGCUUGUUUGUUUGGUAAACAUGUUACACCUGUCAGAGGCAUGCUGGUUGCUAACGGGCCAAGUCCAACAACAUUUAUUCUAUUCUGCGGACGCUUUCCCCUUCUUCUCGCCUCUCUGCUUUUUCCAUCUGUUGCCCUUGCAGCAGUGAAUACAGUAAGUGUGAAGCAGUGAACGUGUGAGGAAACGUGUGCAUGUGUGUGUGUGUGUGUGUGUGUGUGCUGUGUGUGCUGUGUGUGGAUGUGUUAGCACGCACAAACACAGGCUACUGGGUUGUUGUCUGGAUUGCUGUCUUGUAAUGGAGAUAGAGACACUGUUUUAUUUAUCCCUCCCCCAGCUGUCACUGUUGUGUCUGGAGCGAGUUCGCUGAACUCUGGGCGAUGGGACACUUGGAGAACUGUCAAAUCCACUAACCCUCCAAACCAUGCAGAAUGUUACAGCCCAGAACACACCCUGAUUUCUUAGUAUGGAAAACAACAGGGACAUUCAAGAAAUGUGCAACCUUUAUCUGACUCCUCGCCUUCAUAUUUAUGUGUACAGUAAAAGCAAAACAGCAACAACAACAACAGUUUGUAUGUAAGGACAAUUAAUCAAGGUACUUCUCACCAAAGGACUUUUUUAAAACUCAAAUAACGUGAACCCAGGGAAAGUGGAUGUAUUUCAAAUGUUUGAAAAUGUGAGAGUUCAUACUGUAACAUACUUUUGAGUGUUUUUGAACAGACUCAAGUAACCAUGUCUCUUUAUAAACUUAGGCAAUGUACAAUA
Non-coding RNA from Labrus bergylta (ballan wrasse), 1923 nucleotides. Lineage: Eukaryota; Metazoa; Chordata; Actinopteri; Labriformes; Labridae. The record is from RefSeq and is a predicted model, not a curated record.